UCGAGGAUCUUUCGCAAUGGGCGAAAGCCUGACGAAGCGACGCUGCGUGAGCGAUGAAGGCCUUCGGGUCGUAAAGCUCUUUCGCGCAAGAACAAGGGAGCGAGAUGAAGAAUCACGCAACUUGAGGGUACUGCGUAAAGAAGCACCGGCUAACUCCGUGCCAGCAGCUGCGGUAAUACGGAGAGUGCAAGCAUUAAUCGGAAUUAUUGGGCGUAAAGGGCGCGUAGGCGGGAUAGUAAGUCAGAUGUGAAAUACUGAAGCUCAACUUCAGUGCUGCAUUUGAAACUGCAAUUCUAGAGGGUUGACGGAGAAAACGGAAUUCCACGUGUAGCGGUGAAAUGCGUAGAUAUGUGGAAGAACACCUGUGGCGAAAGCGGUUUUCUAGUUGAUACCUGACGCUGAGGCGCGAGAGCAAGGGGAGCAAACAGGAUUAGAUACCCGGGUAGUCC
Molecule: ribosomal RNA, 449 nt
Filed under: uncultured bacterium
Lineage: Bacteria
Description: bacterial SSU rRNA
Rfam family: Bacterial small subunit ribosomal RNA
Source: RNAcentral